GUUUUGAUCAAUAUAAUUCACAUUUACUGAUAAAAAUUUUUAAAAAAAAUUACAAUGUCCUUCGAGCAUUUGGAGGAGACUAAACUUUAUAUCAACAAAUUCAGUCUUUGGAAAAGACUUGUCGCAUUGGCAAAUAAGAAAUAUAACUAUUCUAAAGAAAAACUUGUAUAGAUGAAGCUUACACUCUUGCACAACUAUAAUAAUAUGAUUCGUGCAACACAGCAACAGUUGUUACCACAUUAACAACUUCCCUGCCAAAUCGAAAUUGAUCAACCCUCUUCCUUGUGUAGAGGUGGGAUGCACACCCUCCUGGGGAUCUUGGGUUUGAAUGCAAGUAGAAGGGUGCAUGAGAUUCAAUUUCAAUAAAAAUUAUUAGCAUAACUUUAAAUUCAAUUCUCGAUGAUAUGUUUUGGAGUCAAGUCUAGAUUCAUCAAAUUUCACAUGAUCUAGAAUUGAUAACUCACAGGAAAUUUCAUGCCAACUUAUGACAACGCAAAAGGUCGAACCUGCAUGGGCAAAAACAAUGACAACUUGUUUUAGA
This 541-nucleotide long non-coding RNA is filed under the name Olea europaea subsp. europaea. The record is from RNAcentral. Lineage: Eukaryota; Viridiplantae; Streptophyta; Magnoliopsida; Lamiales; Oleaceae.